This 429-nucleotide ribosomal RNA is filed under the name Chloroflexota bacterium. RNAcentral's name for it is "Chloroflexi bacterium partial 16S ribosomal RNA". It matches the Rfam family "Bacterial small subunit ribosomal RNA", at positions 355 to 776 of the family's 1533-position model. Lineage: Bacteria; Bacillati; Chloroflexota. The record is from RNAcentral.
UGGGGAAUAUUGCACAAUGGGCGCAAGCCUGAUGCAGCCAUGCCGCGUGUAUGAAGAAGGCCUUCGGGUUGUAAAGUACUUUCAGUCGGGAGGAAGGUGGUAAGGUUAAUAACCUUAUCAAUUGACGUUACCCGCAGAAGAAGCACCGGCUAACUCCGUGCCAGCAGCCGCGGUAAUACGGAGGGUGCAAGCGUUAAUCGGAAUUACUGGGCGUAAAGCGCACGCAGGCGGUCUGUCAAGUCGGAUGUGAAAUCCCCGGGCUCAACCUGGGAACUGCAUUCGAAACUGGCAGGCUAGAGUCUUGUAGAGGGGGGUAGAAUUCCAGAUGUAGCGGUGAAAUGCGUAGAGAUCUGGAGGAAUACCGGUGGCGAAGGCGGCCCCCUGGACAAAGACUGACGCUCAGGUGCGAAAGCGUGGGGAGCAAACAGG